GACGAACGCUGGCGGCGUGCUUAACACAUGCAAGUCGAACGGAAAGGCCCUGCUUUUGUGGGGUGCUCGAGUGGCGAACGGGUGAGUAACACGUGAGUAACCUGCCCUUGACUUUGGGAUAACUUCAGGAAACUGGGGCUAAUACCGGAUAGGAGCUCCUGCUGCAUGGUGGGGGUUGGAAAGGUUCGGCGGUUGGGGAUGGACUCGCGGCUUAUCAGCUUGUUGGUGGGGUAGUGGCUUACCAAGGCUUUGACGGGUAGCCGGCCUGAGAGGGUGACCGGGCACAUUGGGACUGAGAUACGGCCCAGACUCCUACGGGAGGCAGCAGUGGGGAAUAUUGCACAGUGGGCGGAAGCCUGAUGCAGCAACGCCGCGUGCGGGAUGACGGCCUUCGGGUUGUGAACCGCUUUCGCCUGUGACGAAGCGUGAGUGACGGUAAUGGGUAAAGAAGCACCGGCUAACUACGUG
RNAcentral lists this ribosomal RNA (468 nucleotides) under uncultured bacterium. RNAcentral's name for it is "partial 16S ribosomal RNA". It matches the Rfam family "Bacterial small subunit ribosomal RNA", at positions 28 to 507 of the family's 1533-position model. The record is from RNAcentral.